Molecule: long non-coding RNA, 256 nt
Organism: Homo sapiens (human)
Lineage: Eukaryota; Metazoa; Chordata; Mammalia; Primates; Hominidae
Source: Ensembl
UCUGGAAGUGCUGCCCAAAGACAUGGCCACCGGGGAGGAAAGGAAGAAAGCAGCACAGAGCCAAGUUUGAAGUCCUGGAAGAGAAUCUCCUGAGACAUUGGCUGAGGAACACAGAAAGUUACUUGUGGCAGAAUCUUUCUGGAAUUUUUCCAUUCUGGGAUACUCUGAGCCCAUUUUGUCACAGGUCAUCAUGACUUGAUGAAUGAAUAUCAUAUUGGUUAAUUCCUGCGGCUUAAUAAAAUCCUUUGUUCAAGAA